Molecule: ribosomal RNA, 245 nt
Filed under: uncultured bacterium
Lineage: Bacteria
Description: partial 16S ribosomal RNA
Rfam family: Bacterial small subunit ribosomal RNA
Source: RNAcentral
AACGUAGGGUGCAAGCGUUGUUCGGAAUUACUGGGCGUAAAGGGCGUGUAGGCGGUAUGGUUAGUCAUAUGUGAAAGCCCUUGGCUUAACUGAGGAACUGCAUAUGAUACUACCAUGCUAGAGAGCGGGAGAGGGAAGUGGAAUUCCCGGUGUAGAGGUGAAAUUCGUAGAAAUCGGGAGGAACAUCGGUGGCGAAAGCGGCUUCCUGGCCCGUUUCUGACGCUGAGGCGCGAAAGCGUGGGGAG